This 363-nucleotide ribosomal RNA is filed under the name uncultured eukaryote. Its description in RNAcentral is "bacterial SSU rRNA". It matches the Rfam family "Eukaryotic small subunit ribosomal RNA", at positions 592 to 959 of the family's 1831-position model. The record is from RNAcentral.
CAAUAGCGUAUAUUAAAGUUGUUGCGGUUAAAAAGCUCGUAGUUGGAUUCCUGUAUGGAAGGGGCGUCCCCACCCUUCGGUAUGGGGGUUGGCUACCUUCUUUGCAUCUUCCCGGAGUAGAUGUUCCUUACUUAACUGUGAGGACAUCGUGCUCGGGUCAAUUUACUUUGAGGAAAGAGAGUGCUCCAAGCAGGCAAACGCCUGAAUACGUUAGCAUGGAAUAAUAGCAUCGGAUCUAUCGUUCAGCUGUUGGUGUCUGGACGAGGAUAAAGGUGGACAGGGAUUGUUGGGGGCAUUCGUAUUUAACUGUCAGAGGUGAAAUUCUUGGAUUUGUUGAGACGAGCUACUGCGAAAGCAUUUGCC